GGCGAUGACGACGUGUUCUCGGAUGCGUCCGAUAAAAGUGAAAAUGAACAGCAAUUCUUGAAAUGCUGCUCUACAAAAACGUAUAAAUUAAAAGUAUGUGUGAGGUGCUUCGCGAUAUUCCAUAUCGCUUGUGCUAAAAGAAACCCAAACGUUAAAUUCCUAAAUGGAAACAAAGUGGUGUGCUGUGAAACGCCGAACCAUCAGGAGGAAGAAAUUAAGAAAGUCCACGAGACAAAAAUGGAAAGUCUUGUAUUACAAGUAAGGUACCUACAAGAAUUAUUGGAAGAAGCAAAGGAUAAAAAUAAUAUUUUGAAGCAGAACAACGGUCUUCUGUUGGAAAAAAUCGAAAAUAUAGUCGAAAUAAAUGGGAAGGAUGGAAAAAAAUAUGUAAACAAAGCUGAUAAACAACAUGGAAACAAAGUCACUAAACAGAGAGAACCAUUAGAGAUUUCUUCCCCUUCGUAUGCAAAUAUAGCAAGUUCGUCAACUUAACAACAGGUGGAAGCACAUGAUCAACUAAAGAUUACUACAAUUCAGGAAACGUCAAAUCAAAAUAAACAAACUAACCAAACUAAUCGUACGACAACAAGAAACAGUCAGAACAGAAAUAUUAUGAAGGAAUCAGGAACUCAAGACAAUGAAUUUAUUGAAGUCAGAAACGGGAAGAGAACAAGAAACAAACCAACACAAAAAAACAUAGGAACAGGUCAAGAAGAAAAUGGUUUCUCCGGACAGCAAAGAAAGGCACACUGAAUUUCUUCAAAAGGAUUCGGUUUUUUUAUAAACUCUGAACCAAAUAA
Harmonia axyridis is the source of this 800-nucleotide long non-coding RNA. RefSeq lists it as uncharacterized. Lineage: Eukaryota; Metazoa; Arthropoda; Insecta; Coleoptera; Coccinellidae. The record is from RefSeq and is a predicted model, not a curated record. The transcript has 2 exons.